UUUGCUUAGCUCACUGGCAUUGAUGCAGAGAGGGAAACUCUAUGUUGGAUAUUAUGUGGCUAUGAAGGGGUUCUCUGCUUUGCUUAUCAGCAUUGCAACAUUUCUCCCAUGUUGUGAGAGUCAUGGAUAAAUGUUGCUUCAGAGAAUAAAGAUGGUUUUUCCUUUUCACAGAGACGAAGGAGCUGGUGAUAGUUUUUCUUGGAGAAAUUGAGCUCAUUUGAACAAAUAGGAAUAUCCGAUUGAGCUGGCACCCAUUUGAUCAAAUUGGGGGAUUUGAUUGAGCAAUCAGAGAUCUUUGAAGGAUUGAGCUCCGGUGUGAUUGUGGAAUCCCUGAAGGUGGUUAGCUUGCAAGGAUUUGCCUCAAUUUUGGAGCCUAACCUCUGCAGAAUUGUGAGUCAAAUUUUGACUAUUUACUGAUUAUAGUUGAAUUUUGGUUGAGACUAGAUGCGGUUAGAUGAAUCUCUUCAAUAUGUUUAUCAAUUCAGUGAAGCAUCAUCUUGCUUUUAAUAGUUCUGUUAUUCAAAUACUCAUGUCAUUCAUUCAUCAAA
Molecule: long non-coding RNA, 548 nt
Organism: Rosa chinensis
Lineage: Eukaryota; Viridiplantae; Streptophyta; Magnoliopsida; Rosales; Rosaceae
Exons: 4
Source: RefSeq, a predicted model, not a curated record